RNAcentral lists this ribosomal RNA (108 nucleotides) under uncultured bacterium. RNAcentral describes it as "partial 16S ribosomal RNA". It matches the Rfam family "Bacterial small subunit ribosomal RNA", at positions 337 to 445 of the family's 1533-position model. The record is from RNAcentral.
CCCUAGGGGGGCAGCAGUGGGGAAUAUUGGACAAUGGGCGAAAGCCUGAUCCAGCCAUGCCGCGUGUGUGAAGAAGGUCUUCGGAUUGUAAAGCACUUUAAGUUGGGA